Molecule: ribosomal RNA, 253 nt
Filed under: uncultured archaeon
Lineage: Archaea
Description: partial 16S ribosomal RNA
Rfam family: Archaeal small subunit ribosomal RNA
Source: RNAcentral
AACCAGCACCUCAAGUGGUCAGGAUGAUUAUUGGGCCUAAAGCAUCCGUAGCCGGCUCUGUAAGUUUUCGGUUAAAUCUGUACGCUCAACGUACAGGCUGCCGGGAAUACUGCAGAGCUAGGGAGUGGGAGAGGUAGACGGUACUCGGUAGGAAGGGGUAAAAUCCUGUCAUCCUUAGAGGACCACCAGUUGCGAAGGCGCCACACUGGAACGGAUCCGACGGUCAGGGACGAAGCCUAGGGGCACGAACCGG